RNAcentral lists this ribosomal RNA (1392 nucleotides) under uncultured bacterium. RNAcentral describes it as "16S ribosomal RNA". It matches the Rfam family "Bacterial small subunit ribosomal RNA". The record is from RNAcentral.
AGAGUUUGAUCCUGGCUCAGGAUGAACGCUGGCGGCGUGCCUAACACAUGCAAGUCGAGCGAUUCUCUUCGGAGAAGAGCGGCGGACGGGUGAGUAACGCGUGGGUAACCUGCCCUGUACACACGGAUAACAUACCGAAAGGUAUGCUAAUACGAGAUAAUAUGCUUUUAUCGCAUGGUAGAAGUAUCAAAGCUUUUGCGGUACAGGAUGGACCCGCGUCUGAUUAGCUAGUUGGUAAGGUAACGGCUUACCAAGGCGACGAUCAGUAGCCGACCUGAGAGGGUGAUCGGCCACAUUGGAACUGAGACACGGUCCAAACUCCUACGGGAGGCAGCAGUGGGGAAUAUUGCACAAUGGGCGAAAGCCUGAUGCAGCAACGCCGCGUGAGCGAUGAAGGCCUUCGGGUCGUAAAGCUCUGUCCUCAAGGAAGAUAAUGACGGUACUUGAGGAGGAAGCCCCGGCUAACUACGUGCCAGCAGCCGCAGUAAUACGUAGAGGGCAAGCGUUGUCCGGAAUUACUGGGCGUAAAGGGUACGCAGGCGGAUAUAUAAGUCAAAUGUGAAAGGCACCGGCUCAACCGGUGAGCGGCAUUUGAAACUGUAUAUCUUGAGUUCAGGAGAAGAGAGCGGAAUUCCUGGUGUAGCGGUGGAAUGCGUAGAUAUCAGGAAGAACACCAGUGGCGAAGGCGGCUCUCUGGCCUGAAACUGACGCUCAGGUACGAAAGCUGGGGGAGCGAACGGGAUUAGAUACCCCGGUAGUCCCAGCCGUAAACGAUGGACACUAGGUGUUGGGGGUUUGAAUCCUUCAGUGCCGAAGCAAACGCAUUAAGUGUCCCGCCUGGGGAGUACGGUCGCAAGACUGAAACUCAAAGGAAUUGACGGGGGCCCGCACAAGCGGUGGAGCAUGUGGUUUAAUUCGAUGCAACGCGAAGAGCCUUACCGAGACUUGACAUCCCGUGACUAUCUGUGAAAGCAGAGUCUGCCUUCGGGCACACGGAGACAGGUGGUGCAUGGUUGUCGUCAGCUCGUGUCGUGAGAUGUUGGGUUAAGUCCCGCAACGAGCGCAACCCCUAUCCUUAGUUGCCAGCGGGUAAUGCCGGGGACUCUAAGGAGACAGCUGGUGGAAGCCGGAGGAAGGUGGGGAUGACGUCAAAUCAUCAUGCCCUUUAUGUCUCGGGCUACACACGUGCUACAAUGGCCAGUACAGAGGGAAGCGAAGGAGUGAUCUGGAGCAAAUCCCAGAAAGCUGGUCCCAGUUCGGAUUGCAGGCUGCAACUCGCCUGCAUGAAGCCGGAAUCGCUAGUAAUCGCAGGUCAGCAUACUGCGGUGAAUACGUUCCCGGGCCUUGUACACACCGCCCGUCACACCACCCGAGUCAGAUGCACCAGAAGUC